This 72-nucleotide transfer RNA is filed under the name Ictidomys tridecemlineatus (thirteen-lined ground squirrel). RNAcentral's name for it is "Spermophilus tridecemlineatus (thirteen-lined ground squirrel) tRNA". It matches the Rfam family "tRNA". From Rfam's summary of the family: Transfer RNA (tRNA) molecules are approximately 80 nucleotides in length. Their secondary structure includes four short double-helical elements and three loops (D, anti-codon, and T loops). Further hydrogen bonds mediate the characteristic L-shaped molecular structure. tRNAs have two regions of fundamental functional importance: the anti-codon, which is responsible for specific mRNA codon recognition, and the 3' end, to which the tRNAs corresponding amino acid is attached (by aminoacyl-tRNA synthetases). tRNAs cope with the degeneracy of the genetic code in two manners: having more than one tRNA (with a specific anti-codon) for a particular amino acid; and 'wobble' base-pairing, i.e. permitting non-standard base-pairing at the 3rd anti-codon position. The record is from Rfam by way of RNAcentral. Lineage: Eukaryota; Metazoa; Chordata; Mammalia; Rodentia; Sciuridae.
GGGAAUGUAGCUUAAUGGUAGAGUACUUGUCUAGCAUGUAUGAAUCCCUGGGUUCCAUCCCCAGCACUACAA